RNAcentral lists this long non-coding RNA (353 nucleotides) under Carassius auratus (goldfish). RNAcentral's name for it is "lncRNA (ENSCARG00000043768.1)". Lineage: Eukaryota; Metazoa; Chordata; Actinopteri; Cypriniformes; Cyprinidae. The record is from RNAcentral.
GUAUAGCUCAAUCCACAUCCUAAGCAACAGAAAAGGCUAGAAGAGAGGCAAACAUGCUGGCUAACCUGCUCACCGUCCUCCAAAACUUCACGGAAAGUAAUUUCCAAUCGUCUGCCAUGUUUGAGGGGUCUGAGUCCGCGGACACACAGGAAGUCAAAUCUGAGAGCACCCUUGGGCCCUCUGUCUCCGCCUGCAGGAAGGUUUUGUGCAGUAACAGUGUUCUGGAUUCGUCGGAGUACUGGCUGAAGAACGAUAAGGCGCUCUGCAGAACGGGGUUCCUGGAGGACCAGCAGGACGGCGGCUGCCCUACAGUGAGUCUCUCUCAGAAGUGCUCUGUCCAUACGUUUGAUUAA